UGUAUAAGAGGUCCUACCUGCCCAGUGACAAUAAGUUAAACGGCCGCGGUAUUUUGACCGUGCUAAGGUAGCGCAAUCACUUGUCUUUUAAAUGAAGACCUGUAUGAAUGGUGGAACGAGGGCUUAACUGUCUCCCUUUUCAGGUCAGUGAAAUUGAUCUACCCGUGCAGAAGCGGGUAUAAGCAUACAAGACGAGAAGACCCUUUGGAGCUUAAGACACAAGGUCAACUAUGUCAAAAGUUCCUCUAAAUGAAAACGAAACAAAAUAUUAACUGACCAAAGUCUUCGGUUGGGGCGACCGCGGGGGAAAACAAAGCCCCCAUGUGGAAUGGGUUAAAACCUAAAGCCAAGAGGGACACCUCUAAGUCACAGAACAUCUGACCAAAAGAUCCGGCACCUAAGCCGAUCAACGAACCAAGUUACCCUAGGGAUAACAGCGCAAUCCCCUCCAAGAGUCCAUAUCGACAAGGGGGUUUACGACCUCGAUGUUGGAUCAGGACAUCCUAAUGGUGCAGCCGCUAUUAAGGGUUCGUUUGUUCAACGAUUAAAGUCCUACGUGAUCUGAG
RNAcentral lists this ribosomal RNA (566 nucleotides) under Knodus meridae. RNAcentral describes it as "partial 16S large subunit ribosomal RNA". It matches the Rfam family "Bacterial large subunit ribosomal RNA", at positions 1842 to 2609 of the family's 2925-position model. Lineage: Eukaryota; Metazoa; Chordata; Actinopteri; Characiformes; Stevardiidae. The record is from RNAcentral.